This is a transfer RNA of Helobdella robusta, 88 nucleotides long. It matches the Rfam family "tRNA". From Rfam's summary of the family: Transfer RNA (tRNA) molecules are approximately 80 nucleotides in length. Their secondary structure includes four short double-helical elements and three loops (D, anti-codon, and T loops). NCBI's taxonomy places the organism in Eukaryota, Metazoa, Annelida, Clitellata, Rhynchobdellida, Glossiphoniidae. The record is from Rfam.
CCCGUGAUAGCUCAGUUGGUAGAGCGGAGGACUGUAGUUUGUUAAUGUGGCUAUCCUUAGGUCGGCGGUUCGACUCCGUCUCGCGGGA